GCCAGGUGUGGUGGUGGUGCACCUGUGGUCCCAGCUACUUGGGAGGCUGAGGUGGGAGGAUCGCUUGAGCCUGGGAGGUCUAGGCUGCAGUGAGCUAUGAUGGCCCCACUGCACUCCAGCCUGGGUAACAGAGCGAGACCCCCAACUCUU
Unclassified non-coding RNA from Macaca fascicularis (crab-eating macaque), 150 nucleotides. It matches the Rfam family "Metazoan signal recognition particle RNA". Rfam says of the family: The signal recognition particle (SRP) is a universally conserved ribonucleoprotein. It is involved in the co-translational targeting of proteins to membranes. The record is from Ensembl. Lineage: Eukaryota; Metazoa; Chordata; Mammalia; Primates; Cercopithecidae.